This 19-nucleotide unclassified non-coding RNA is filed under the name Trypanosoma cruzi. Its description in RNAcentral is "partial trans-spliced leader sequence". The record is from RNAcentral. Lineage: Eukaryota; Euglenozoa; Kinetoplastea; Trypanosomatida; Trypanosomatidae.
AAGCUUCUGUACUAUAUUG